GCGGCUUUAGCUCAGUUGGGAGAGCGUUAGACUGAAGAUCUAAAGGUCCUGUGUUCGAUCCACAGAAAUCGCA
This is a transfer RNA of Babjeviella inositovora NRRL Y-12698, 73 nucleotides long. It matches the Rfam family "tRNA". Rfam says of the family: Transfer RNA (tRNA) molecules are approximately 80 nucleotides in length. Their secondary structure includes four short double-helical elements and three loops (D, anti-codon, and T loops). NCBI's taxonomy places the organism in Eukaryota, Fungi, Ascomycota, Pichiomycetes, Serinales. The record is from Rfam.